This 253-nucleotide ribosomal RNA is filed under the name uncultured bacterium. Its description in RNAcentral is "partial 16S ribosomal RNA". It matches the Rfam family "Bacterial small subunit ribosomal RNA", at positions 524 to 776 of the family's 1533-position model. The record is from RNAcentral.
UACGGAGGGUGCAAGCGUUAUCCGGAUUUACUGGGUUUAAAGGGUGCGUAGGUGGGUAGGUAAGUCAGUGGUGAAAUAUGGCAGCUCAACUGUCAAGGUGCCAUUGAUACUGCAGAGCUUGAGUACAGAUGAGGUAGGCGGAAUUGACGGUGUAGCGGUGAAAUGCUUAGAUAUCGUCAAGAACACCUAUAGCGAAGGCAGCUUACUAGGCUGUAACUGACGCUGAGGCACGAAAGUGUGGGGAUCAAACAGG